AAGACUUUACUUUUAGAGAUCAUUCUAUAGUAUGUUAAUAGAGAAUUGUGGCUGAAAGUGUAGUAUGAAGGUAACCACGAGGAGGAGCUGUGGUGUUCUCUUCUGAGCUUGAUGACAGUUUGUGACUCUGCUUGUCAGUAACUGCCACCUAUCAUUGAUGAUUGUUCUUCCCUGCCUUCAGAUUGGGUGAGAGGAAGAGAAUGCAGGCCUCAGCAGG
RNAcentral lists this small nucleolar RNA (217 nucleotides) under Phascolarctos cinereus (koala). RNAcentral's name for it is "Small nucleolar RNA U3 (ENSPCIG00000011755.2)". It matches the Rfam family "Small nucleolar RNA U3". Rfam says of the family: Small nucleolar RNAs (snoRNAs) are involved in the processing and modification of rRNA in the nucleolus. There are two main classes of snoRNAs: the box C/D class, and the box H/ACA class. U3 snoRNA is a member of the box C/D class. The record is from Rfam by way of RNAcentral. Lineage: Eukaryota; Metazoa; Chordata; Mammalia; Diprotodontia; Phascolarctidae.